Molecule: non-coding RNA, 5348 nt
Organism: Phalacrocorax carbo (great cormorant)
Lineage: Eukaryota; Metazoa; Chordata; Aves; Suliformes; Phalacrocoracidae
Source: RefSeq, a predicted model, not a curated record
GGGGCUGGAGUGAGGGGGGGGCUGGCCUCUGCUCCCAAGUCACCAGUGACAGGGCGAGAGGGAACGGCCUCAGGCUGCGUCAGGGGAGGUUUGGGUUGGGUGUGAGGGGAAAUGUCUUCCCUGCCAGAGGGGUCAGGCCCUGGCACAGGCUGCCCAGAGAGGCGGGGGCGUCACCAUCCCUGGGACGGGGUUCAGACACCGUGCAGACGCGGCCCUCGGGGCCAUGGUUUAGGAGGCCUGGGGGGGGUUGGGUUGGGGGUUGGACUCGAUGAUCCCAGAGGCCUUUUCCAACCUCAACAGUUCCAUGACUCUGUGCUUCCCCCUCGGUGCCCUUCGCGCACCGGGCGCAGCCCUUGGGGCAGGGGCUCCACACCCCUCCCAGCGCCUCCGCCAAAGGUGCUAUUUCAAAUUCAGUAUUAGAAGUGAUUUGUCUUGUUUUGGGUUGUUGGUUUUUUUCUUUUAGGUGACUACUUUGCAGACCCAACCGUCCUUGUGUAACGCAGGCCCUGCUCAGAAAGGCUGGCUCAUGUUUACGCUAAGGCAAAACGAGCAGAAGGUCCCUGUCAGUCCAACAGUGCCAGGACAAACAGCCAUAGCCCUGGGGAGAGCGGCAGCUGUGACCCGCUGACCCGCCCUCCACGUCGAGCGCGUGUCUGGAGCGGCAGCUUUCGGCUCCAGCAAAAUACUAAUUUUCAUUUGCCGCCCCUCCUUUAUCAACUGGGUUGUACAUCCUCAUCCUGGGCAAAUUAACUUCGUGUACGCAUUUCGUUCUUCUCCAGUUGAGCUUCUUCUUGCCCAAACACAUCGUUACACGUGUACGGCCCGAACGGCAAAGGCUGCAGGUCGCGGUCAUCGCCUCAGGUCAGCAAACCUCGCGCUGGAUCACGGCAGCCGGCGCUGCGGAGCGGCCGCCCGGCUUUCUGUAAUCCCACAGGCGUAAUAUGGCUUUUCCUGCCUGGUUACUUGUUCUCUGUUAAAAUCUGCAAAUGCUUAUCCUGCGGCUUGGUAAAUAACUGCCCAAAAAAUGUCUUUUCAAGAAGUUUGUUGACUGAUUUCAUUCAUUUAAAAAAAAAAUAAAUAAACCAAACAAAUUAUGUACAAACUCUUUGUCCUCACUCGGGAAACAACAGCACCGUUACGUUACGAAGCCUUACAACGCACCGUAGCAAGAGUCGCGUCGUUCUUCGUUAAAACUCGUCGCGUAAAUUGGAACCUGGAACGCCAACGCAGCGGCUGGGCGAGCCGGCGUCCCCGGUUCGUGACGACCCUACCACCAUCACGUCCCCACAGCAAGACUGGACGUGGGAAGAAACGAAACUGGAGUGGAACAAAAGCACGAAUCAAGCAGAGGUCGUCUACGGUCUAGAGAUAAUAAAGGAACCACUGGCAAACACUUUUUCUCCGGAUAGGAUCAAAGCUGGGUUCAAAGGCUCCUACAAACCUCGUCUAAUACAGCAGCAAGCUUACGGCCGGGUCCUGCGGAUGCGAUAGCGACUGUAGGUGUACCGUCGAUGGCGAUAACCGGGACGCACCCUCUCCCCUCAGCAAAUAAACCCUUCGGGACUAUUUACAGGAACUUAGAAAACCCUGUCGUAAGGACAACUUACUGCCUUCGUAGGGAAGGUGAAAUAAAUCCUUUUUUUUUUUGCUGUUUGCGCCUCGUUUUUAAGCCACUUGGGAUCUUUUCCCGCCACAGUGGCCAAAACCGUUAAUUUGUUGGAAGACCGAGUCACCAGCCUCGUUUCCUCCGUCGGGUCCCUACAGACACACCACACUCACAGCGACCAGGUACGACUCCACUGGCAACAGGACACUAAACAAGGAUGCUCCACACGACAGACCACGGGCUCCCGACGCACACCUACGCUGGGGGCGCUCCCGUCCCGCCCGCCUUCCCCCGCCUCUCCCCGCCUCGGCGUCCGAGGGUCAGCGCGAUAUUGCUUGUCGAAGCUGUGGCGAGCCGGCAGCGGCGCCGAGGGCGUUAGCUCUUGCAGCCGGCGCCGUUCACGGGAACCUUGGACACGGUGGGGCAGUCGCUCCGGAAGGCGUCGAGGUCCGCGGCGGCGGUGGCUUCGGGGCCGGCGGUCGCCGUCCCCUGGGGCAGGCAGGCGCCCUGGGGACCCCCCUGGCUGCGCCCGCUGCGGGAGCAGUCGUGGUGCCCGUGGUUGCCCAAGCGGCUGGAAGCCACCACGGCUUUCAUGGCAGCCUGUUGCAAAGGCACAGCGACGCGAGCAGUUAUUAGCGCCUGUUUCUCCCCUUCGAUGCCGCUCAAGCCCCCGGCGCACGCGGAAGGGGAGGUGGUGCCUCUCCUUCAGCCAGACCGAGCCGGGAAGCCCAGCUCUGCCCCUUGGGCACGGCUUUUCCCCGGCAGCAGCUGCAAGGCGCCGCUCCAUCGCCCUUCACCCCCUCCAGGAGCCACCAUGUGUCACUAAACAUUUAUCUGCCCGGGGGAUCCUUAAAACCCGCCGACAGCGGCUCUCGGUGGCCCCAGCCAUUGGCACAAGGGGAGGCAAACACGAGCCACCCCCCGGGGGUUAACGGGGCUUUUUCACCUUACCUUCAGUUUCCUCCUGGCGUUAAAUUCCUGCAGUUUCUUCUGCGUGCUGUCCAUGUGAGCAAAUUUAGCGGCUUUCCCGGUGACCCAGGGAUGCUCCAGAGCCUGGUAGACAGUCAGUCUCUUCUGGGGGUCCAGGACGAUCAAUUUUCUGACCUGUAACCAAUUUCAGUCACACAAAACGGCCUAAUUUGUUAAAUGCCCCUCGUUCUGGUAUCUUUACAAGCAUUGAUCUGAAGGCUUCAUACUUGGCAGCCCCGAGCCCCGGCGCUCACCAAGUCCUUGGCGUUGAGGGAAACCUCAUCCCACCACGGGGACACGAACUCGUAGUCGCAGGUGAGGAUGCGGCUGUACAUGUACUGGUCCCCCCGCGGGUCGAAGAAAGGCUCGAAGCCACAGAGCCUGUGAGCACGGGAGAGAGGAGCUACGUGCCGCUGCCCGGGCCCCGUGGCGCGGCCGUGCCGGCGUUUGCCGGCUGCUCGCGGUGGGCUGAGGUGGUGCGAACCGUCCCCGCCGCCGCGGCUGCGUCGCCCGCGGGGCCCCGCCAGCGUUACUCACAGGAUGUAGGUGAUGACGCCCACGGACCACAUAUCCACUUCAGGGCCGUACGGGCACCCGUGGAGGAUUUCAGGGGCUGGAAGAAGAGUUUGGGGUUCAAAUGGACCGGUGUGGGAACCUCACAGCCAAGGGAACGUCCCCCUGGGCACCAUCGGCACCUCCCGAGCCCGGCGCAGCCAUCUGCCAUCCCUGCACCGAGCUGUGCACGGCCUCAGGCAGGGAUCAGCCUCCCCGAGUCUCCCUCCCACCCCCCUGGGCUCUCCUCGCCCGCUCACCGCAGUACCCCGGCGUCCCGCAGACGGUUUUCAUGGUGUCCUGUUCAUCCACGAUCUUGGAGAGCCCGAAGUCACCUUGGAGGGACACAGAGGGGAGGGGUGCCACCGUCAGGGAGAGGUGCCAUUAACCCUCCAUCCCACCACAACCCCCGCGGGGUGGGGGUCGCGACAAACCCACCGAUUUUAAGGGGAGCGUCGGGGGACAGGUCUGCGUAGAGCAGGUUCUCCGGCUUCAGGUCGCGGUGGACAACUCCGUUUUCGUGCAAAUACUACGGAGAGAGAGAAAGCAGGGAUGAAGGAGGGGAGGAUGGGGCAGGGAAGCCCCGUCUGCCGAAGGCGGCCGCAGCGAUCCGGGACCCGGCAUGAACACGCGACCAACCCGCCCAACUAUUUCUUUGGAAACACUCAACACCUGCAGUGCCAGGGCACGGGAAGGACAGUUCCUGUUAUGAAUUACCAUUUUUAAACCUUCCUGUUGCCAUAGAAACCACAUCUCCAGCCAACCUGUGAUGCAGAGUGGUGCUGAGCUUCCUCCCUCCUCUUCUUCAUCCCCCCCAAACGCAGAUUGGAAGAGGCACCUCCACCAGCAAUGCCUUCGGAGGGCUCUGGGGACCUCCUCGCUGGGCCACCCCCAGGUGCGUGCGGGGGGGUCGCGCCGGGGGCACGUUACCGAAACGGCUUCCAGGAUCUGCUUGACGACAUGGGCCGCAUCCCGCUCGCUGUAGAAACCCCUCUCCACGAUCCUGCGGGCACAGGGGGUCAGCGCGGCGGUGCCCUGCCCCGCACCGACCCCCCCCUCACUCCCCGUCCCCCCCAACCAUAGCGUGCAUCAACCCUACCCAUCCUCAUCCUCCCUGCACCAUCGGGGUGAGAUUUGUCCCUCCUCGUUAGGAGCGGGACGGGGACCGCGGGGCCGGCGUACCUGUCGAAGAGCUCUCCUCCCGUCACCAGCUCCAGCACCAGCGCGAUCUCGGAGGGCGUCUCGAAGAUCUCCUUCAGCUUGAUCUGAAAGGGGCGACAGGAGGGAUGCAGGACGCGGAGACCGGCUGUGCCAGGAGGAGCACGCGACCGCCGGGCUCUUUGUCGGCUGCGCUGGCACCUCGGGCGCCUCCGUCCAGCCCUGCGACCCCCGGCAGAGCCCUGCCCUCGUCCCUCCCGGCCGGAUCCUGCACAUCUGCAUCGGCGGGGAUGCAGGAGGGACGCGCAGAGCCCCGGGGGGCCAAAGCCACCUCUGGGACCGGGGCCCUGGGGCCCCUUGGGUGCCUUUGCAAACAUCCCUUGGACCAUUCUGCUGCGGAAGAGGCACUAAAGAAACAGCGGUUUUUCUCCUGAUUUUUGUGCUUUAGCUCCCAGGCGAGGUGAGCUUGUCUGCACAAGACCUUUGUGCCACUGCAGCGAAUCUGGAAUUAACAGGUCUCUCUUAAAACUACGUCAAAAUGCAUUAUUUUUUUUUUUUAAUGGAAAACAGAGAAUUUCAUGCUUCUUAAGACUUUUGUGACACUGCGAAUUUCAUGGGGCUUUAAUCAUUACCUUCAUAGGCUGGGUGACAAGCCGUGAUACCCCGCAGGGUGAGAGACACUAUGUGGCAGCUUAUUGCAUUAUAAUAAUACACGGAAGCACUAUAAUUUUCCUAUUAACUUCAAAAGUUUACAAUCCUAUUAUCAGCCGCUGUUGAGGUUGGUGCUGAACGAUAGCGAGCGCGCAGACGGCACCACCGUAAAUAAUGAAACGGAGCAUCUCCUCUUCGAAAAAUCACUUGAACUUGGGAGCGAGAAGAACCCUACGGAAAACUCGGUGAUUUAAGUAUUAAAACUGUCCAGCUGGUUCCUCCUCCGCGUCUCCGUGGUGCCGCUGCCUGGAGGGCGAAGGAGGAGGGAGGGCAGAAAUUGCGUUUUCUGUUGCGUUUCUGGUAACGCAUCGGAGAGGAGCCUCUCCCCGUCCACGGCCGACAGCGGCUGAGC